UACGUAGGUGGCGAGCGUUGUCCGGAAUUACUGGGCGUAAAGGGUGCGUAGGCGGUAUAUUAAGUCAGAUGUGAAAUUCCGGGGCUCAACUUCGGAAUUGCAUUUGAAACUGGUAGGCUAGAGUGCAGGAGAGGAAAGCGGAAUUCCUAGUGUAGCGGUGAAAUGCGUAGAUAUUAGGAAGAACACCAGUGGCGAAGGCGGCUUUCUGGACUGUAACUGACGCUGAGGCACGAAAGCGUGGGGAGCAAACAGG
Molecule: ribosomal RNA, 253 nt
Filed under: uncultured bacterium
Lineage: Bacteria
Description: partial 16S ribosomal RNA
Rfam family: Bacterial small subunit ribosomal RNA
Source: RNAcentral